GCUACUUCGGGAAAAUUUCAAAGGGAAAGGAAGAUCAACAUGGUGGGUUUGAGCUUUCUCUGUCUUUGCCUGCUAAAAGCUGAUGAGUUCCUCUCAAAUUUGGGAGCAGCCUGCAGGAGAAGCCUCGGCUAAGCUGCCACCGAGACAGCGCGGAGCUCGCUGGGGAGCAGAAGCAUGAGGGGAACGAGAUUUGUAGAGACAGAAAGGACGGGAGGAGAAGCUGGUAAUUUUCCAGUAUCAUGACGAACACUUGGACAUCUCCUUCUGCAGUGGCUGGAGAAUUGUCCUGGCCCCUGGGGACCAGAGGGGUCCAUGCAGGCACAGCUGUUCCCCAGCCACCUCUCCCAGGAAGAUGUGACCUUGUCCUUCUUGGGAAGAGUCUUCUUGGCUGGUCAGGGAAGAUAUGUUCCUGCCUUGUCAACCUCCUCGAGCACCUCAGAGUGGAAAUGGCCAUCGAUAAAUGGAUUUUUCUUGGCUCUCGCCCUGCCUGGUUUAAUUCUUGGGUAAUUUACUGUGCCAUUUCCUGACGUGCUGCUGAAAUGUGCAGCAGGGAGAGGCAAGAGAGGAGCCAGAGCUCGUCUGAGGAGAUGGGGGUCAGGUCCUGGUGGAGGAGGGGAUGUCCCAGAGUGUCACUGAGUGCAGCUGAUGUGGUGUCCAGAGAGGGUUGCUGUUAAUUGAAUUGAAGAAGACAAAUGGCCCUCAGCUCCGUCUCCAAAGGACAAUAACUGCACUGAUAAUGAAGCUGAACUCCCUCAUCCUGAUCCCAGGCAUCCAUGGAGUUAUGUAAUUGAUGGAAUAUCAUUAAGAAAGAGGAAGAUGUCCAAAUACAGGCAGGGGGGGAAAGGGGGGAAGUUUACAGAAUUUGCUGAGAUCUGAUGCUUACAGCUCCAGAGCCAGCUUUUCUGAAGCAUGGAGACCUUUGAGACACAUUUUUCAUCCUCCUUCCCUGUUUUUUUUCAAGGCAAAAUUACAUUCCAAGCAAUGAUUGCAGUGACAUUACGCUCAAGCGAUCAAAAACUGUUUUGCUGCACCAGUGUCAGCUGCUAAAGGGACAAGUGCCUGUGAUGAAUGUUUGA
This 1076-nucleotide long non-coding RNA is filed under the name Zonotrichia albicollis (white-throated sparrow). RNAcentral describes it as "lncRNA (ENSZALG00000008598.1)". Lineage: Eukaryota; Metazoa; Chordata; Aves; Passeriformes; Passerellidae. The record is from RNAcentral.